Molecule: ribosomal RNA, 710 nt
Filed under: uncultured bacterium
Lineage: Bacteria
Description: bacterial SSU rRNA
Rfam family: Bacterial small subunit ribosomal RNA
Source: RNAcentral
ACGGGUGAGUAAUGCUUGGGAAUCUGGCUUAUGGAGGGGGAUAACUACGGGAAACUGUAGCUAAUACCGCGUAGUAUCGGAAGAUGAAAGUGCGGGACCGUAAGGCCGCAUGCCAUGAGAUGAGCCCAAGUGGGAUUAGGUAGUUGGUGGGGUAAAGGCCUACCAAGCCUGCGAUCUCUAGCUGGUCUGAGAGGAUGGCCAGCCACACUGGAACUGAGACACGGUCCAGACUCCUACGGGAGGCAGCAGUGGGGAAUAUUGCGCAAUGGGGGGAACCCUGACGCAGCCAUGCCGCGUGAAUGAAGAAGGCCUUCGGGUUGUAAAGUUCUUUCGGUAUUGAGGAAGGAGUGUAUGUUAAUAGCAUACAUUAUUGACGUUAAAUACAGAAGAAGCACCGGCUAACUCCGUGCCAGCAGCCGCGGUAAUACGGAGGGUGCGAGCGUUAAUCGGAAUAACUGGGCGUAAAGGGCACGCAGGCGGUUAUUUAAGUGAGGUGUGAAAGCCCCGGGCUUAACCUGGGAAUUGCAUUUCAGACUGGGUAACUAGAGUACUUUAGGGAGGGGUAGAAUUCCACGUGUAGCGGUGAAAUGCGUAGAGAUGUGGAGGAAUACCGAAGGCGAAGGCAGCCCCUUGGGAGUGUACUGACGCUCAUGUGCGAAAGCGUGGGGAGCAAACAGGAUUAGAUACCCUGGUAGUCCACGCUGUAAACG